CGAUAAGUAAUGUGAAUUGCAGAAUUCAGUGAAUCAUCGAAUCUUUGAACGCACCUUGCGCCCUUUGGUAUUCCGAAGGGCAUGCCUGUUUGAGUGUCAUUAAAUUCUCAACCCAAAAAGCUUUUACGAGCUCUUUUGUGGCUUGGAUGUGGGGGUUUUUGCUGGCUUCCUUCAGUGGAUGGUCUGCUCCCCUUAAAUGCAUUAGUGGGAUCUCUUGUGGACCGUCACUUGGUGUGAUAAUUAUCUAUGCCAGUUGACUUUGAAGCAAAACUUAUGGGAACCCGCUCAUAACCGUCUUCGGACAACUUAUUGACAUUUUGACCUCAAAUCAGGUAGGACUACCCGCUGAACUUAA
RNAcentral lists this small RNA (355 nucleotides) under uncultured fungus. Its description in RNAcentral is "eukaryotic LSU rRNA". The stretch from base 1 to 99 matches the Rfam family "5.8S ribosomal RNA", at positions 56 to 154 of the family's 154-position model. The record is from RNAcentral. Lineage: Eukaryota; Fungi.